This is an RNA transcript of Mangifera indica (mango), 1277 nucleotides long. RefSeq lists it as uncharacterized. NCBI's taxonomy places the organism in Eukaryota, Viridiplantae, Streptophyta, Magnoliopsida, Sapindales, Anacardiaceae. The transcript is spliced from 10 exons. The record is from RefSeq and is a predicted model, not a curated record.
UUUGGCCUUUUUUUUUCUCUCUUCUUUUUGGUUCUUAGUUCUUACUUUAUUAACAGUCGUUUCUGUGAUCAUCGUCGUUUCUAAGUUUGGUGUUUGUAGUGCAGGAUCAUCAAUGGAGGACGAAAAGGAUCCCUUUUAUGUUGUUAGGAAGGGAGACAUCGUUGGCGUAUACAAAAGCUUAAGGGAUUGCCAACUUCAAGUUGGACUUUCUGUGUGCAAUCCUUCUGUAACUGUGUUUAAGGGUUAUGGUUUACCUAAGGAGGCUGAGGAGUACCUUGCUUCACAUGGUCUUCAGAGUUCAAUGUAUGCGGUUGGUGCCAGAGAUGUUAAAGAUGAUCUUUUUGGGAAACUUGUUCUUUGCCCAUUUCAGGAACCAGAAUCUUUUAGUGGGAAUACAUCUAAUGAGGUUUCUCCUCCAAAGAGGAUGCGCAUGGAGACAGUUGGAUUAAUUACAGUUUCCACAACUCCAAAAAAGCACUUGAACUUGGAUGAUCAUGUUGGAAAUCAAGCAAAUUCUUCUAAUUGUUGCUCCUGUGUUCUUAAGUUUGAUGGUGCCUCGAAGGGAAAUCCUGGACUGGCUGGUGCAGGAGCAGUUUUGCUUGCUGAAGAUGGCAGUAUGGUCUGCCGACUUCGAGAAGGGGUUGGCAUUGCAACCAAUAAUGUUGCUGAAUAUCGAGCUGUACUUUUAGGAUUGAAACAUGCUCUUAAGAAAGGGUUCACACACAUUCGUGUCCAGGGGGACUCUAAGCUUGUUUGUAUGCAGAUUCAGGGACUAUGGAAAGUCAAUAAUCCGAAUUUGGCUGGCUUGUGUAAAGAGGCAAAGGAGCUCAAGGUUAAGUUUCAGUCAUUUCAGAUCAGUCAUGUUCCGAGGGAAUUCAAUUCUGAAGCUGAUGCUCAAGCUAACCUGGGUAUACACCUCAAAGCCAAAUACAAUCCAAAGAUCACAACAAACACACAAAACAGAAGAGAAAGCGCUAUAUGAUUCUGAUUUUAUUUCUCUCUGAGUUAACACAGCAAAUGAAAGCAAAAGUAGAUAAUUCUGGCAUUUCAAGGAGCCAAAUACCUCCUCUUCAGCCAAAGCUGCCCAGAAAAGCCCAAAACAGUAUCCUUCCUUCUCACCACUCCCCUUUAUCCCUUUUCUCUCUUUUCUCUUUGCCAUGUGGCCCUCUCCUCUUAAGUGGUCUUCCCAUUUGCCUUCAUCUCGCUAAUUAUUUGUCUCCUACAGAUGGCCAAAUUGAAGAGGAUAUUACAAUGGGGAGUUCAAGUACCAGAAGGCA